RNAcentral lists this ribosomal RNA (240 nucleotides) under uncultured bacterium. RNAcentral's name for it is "partial 16S ribosomal RNA". It matches the Rfam family "Bacterial small subunit ribosomal RNA", at positions 15 to 233 of the family's 1533-position model. The record is from RNAcentral.
GAUCCUGGCUCAGGAUGAACGCUUGCGGCGUGCUUAACACAUGCAAGUCGAACGGGGAUGUUUCGCUGAUGCGAUUUCGGUCAAAUCUUGAAGCAUUUUAGUGGCGGACGGGUGAGUAACGCGUGGGUAACCUGCCCUGUACAGGGGGACAACAGUUGGAAACGACUGCUAAUACCGCAUAAGCGCACAGCUUCGCAUGAAGCAGUGUGAAAAACUCCGUGUGGUACAGGAUCGGACCCG